UGGCAGGUACAGAGGGAUGCUACCGGGCGACCGGAUGCGGAUCUCGAAAGCCUGUCCCAGUUCGGACUGGAGUCUGCAACCCGACUCCACGAAGUUGGAUUCGCUAGUAAUCGCGCAUCAGCCAUGGCGCGGUGAAUACGUUCCCGGGCCUUGUACACACCGCCCGUCAAGCCAUGGGAGCCGGGGGCGCCUGAAGUCCGGGACCGCGAGGACCGGCCUGGGGCGAAACUGGUAACUGGGGCUAAGUCGUAACAAGGUACC
RNAcentral lists this ribosomal RNA (261 nucleotides) under uncultured bacterium. RNAcentral's name for it is "partial 16S ribosomal RNA". It matches the Rfam family "Bacterial small subunit ribosomal RNA", at positions 1231 to 1500 of the family's 1533-position model. The record is from RNAcentral.